AGCUUUCCCUUCGGGGACUGAGGUGACAGGUGGUGCAUGGUUGUCGUCAGCUCGUGUCGUGAGAUGUUGGGUUAAGUCCCGCAACGAGCGCAACCCUUAUCUUUAGUUGCCAGCAUUUUGGAUGGGCACUCUAGAGAGACUGCCGAGGAUAACUCGGAGGAAGGUGGGGAUGACGUCAAAUCAUCAUGCCCCUUAUGCUUAGGGCUACACACGUGCUACAAUGGCUAGUACAGAGAGUUGCGAAACCGCGAGGUCAAGCUAAUCUCUUAAAGCUAGUCUCAGUUCGGAUUGCAGGCUGAAACUCGCCUGCAUGAAGCUGGAGUUACUAGUAAUCGCGAAUCAGAAUGUCGCGGUGAAUGCGUUCCCGGGUCUUGUACACACCGCCCGUCACACCACGGAAGUUGGGGGCGCCCGAAGUCAGAUAUCCAACCGUAAGGAGGAAUCUGCCGAAGGUGAAAUCAAUGACUGGGGUGAAGUCGUAACAAGGUAGCCGUAAAGGGCG
This 502-nucleotide ribosomal RNA is filed under the name uncultured bacterium. RNAcentral describes it as "bacterial SSU rRNA". It matches the Rfam family "Bacterial small subunit ribosomal RNA", at positions 1010 to 1511 of the family's 1533-position model. The record is from RNAcentral.